Molecule: long non-coding RNA, 226 nt
Filed under: Malus domestica (apple)
Lineage: Eukaryota; Viridiplantae; Streptophyta; Magnoliopsida; Rosales; Rosaceae
Description: long non-coding RNA (MDOM_LNC000231)
Source: RNAcentral
AUCGUAUAUGCACUCAAUGUAGUCAUAAGGAUUUUCAUUCUUAUUUCUUUCGAAUUAAGUGGUGCAACUCUAUGACAUAGUCAUAAAGUUCAAACCAUUCAACUGAGACGGUUUAUAAAUCCUUCUCGACUACCUUGGAGCUUUUGGUAUAGGAGCUAGGUUGUUAUAUUUGUUGAUUACUUUCUUGUCUCUCAAAGAACCCAUUCUUUGAGUUCUAUCUCUCGUU